Callithrix jacchus (white-tufted-ear marmoset) is the source of this 866-nucleotide long non-coding RNA. RefSeq lists it as uncharacterized. The record is from RefSeq and is a predicted model, not a curated record. Lineage: Eukaryota; Metazoa; Chordata; Mammalia; Primates; Cebidae.
UCCCAUUUUGCCAUCAGCGCCAGGAAGCACUGCCUUACAUUUCUGCAUGCAGCUCAAACUCAGAAGCCCCCAAGCAAGCCGGGAUAUAGCCUCUUCAUUGGCUGAAGCUCCUCCGAGCAGGAUUUGCUGAGUUCUGGGGUACAUGUGAAGAACAUGCAAGAUUGUUGCAUAGGUACACACAUGGCUGAGUAAUACUCCUUUGUUUCUUCACCAGAAGGGAUAUCAGACUCUAAUCCCAUAAUGCCUCAGGGGAACCUGAGUGGUGGAAACAUUAAAUGGUAUGUCUGAUGAGAAGCUGUGCUUUACAUGAAUCAUUGACUAAAAAACGAACAGGAACAUAAAUUCUGAAGCAUGCAUGAAUGCUGAAAGCAUGAUGGGUUUCCCUUGAGCUGCCUUGGUGUCCUGUGCCCUGCAUUUCAAGACAGUCAACCACAUCUUAAACUCACAGUUGUGCAUCCAGAGGAAGAUGAGCAAUAGAAAAAUCUCCAGUGUAGGAUUCAAAAAUUUGCUUUCUGGUCUCUGUAAGACCUUGGGCAAGUUAAAGCUUAUUGCUAGCUGCCUUAAUCUCCUCAUAAAGAAAAAUAGGUCUACUCUCUAUAAUAUCUAUACUAUCUUUUUUGUUGGCAAUGUGGGAUUAUAAGACCAAUUCUAGUUAUCUUCUAUGGGUUAUAAGACAUAUAUGACUGAUACAUGUUAAAAGAAAAGUCUUAUGUAUUUGUAAUGGAUUGUUUUGAAUGAGCUUUUUUAUUCUCUAAAAAGAUCCAUUAUUUUUGUAUUAGUGGUGAUGUUGAUUUUUUUGGUUGGUUGGCAUUUAUUAGUUACUGAAGGCUAUAUUCAUUCAAUAAAUAUUUAUUAAGCCCCUGCUU